Molecule: transfer RNA, 96 nt
Filed under: Quadrisphaera setariae
Lineage: Bacteria; Bacillati; Actinomycetota; Actinomycetes; Kineosporiales; Kineosporiaceae
Description: Quadrisphaera sp. DD2A tRNA-Sec
Rfam family: Selenocysteine transfer RNA
Source: RNAcentral
GGAGGCGUCUGCUCACCUGGUGGGAGUCGCGGCCUUCAAAGCCGACGAGACCGAGCACCUCGGUCUGGCGGGUUCGAUCCCCGUCCGCCUCCGCUA